AUGCCGUUGCCCCCGCGCCGUCGCCAUCGUCGUCGCCUCCGUCUCCACCCCGCCGCCCCCGUUGUCUCCGCCUCCACCGCCGCCAUCCCUGUCGACGUCGACUCCGUCUCCAUCCCGCCGUCCCUGUCGCCUCUGCCUCCACCCUGCCGCCCCUAUCGUCUCCACCCCGCCGCCCCCAUCGUCUCCACCCCGCAACGCCCCCUCGCUGUCUCCUGUCGCCGUCGUUUCCCUGGUUGGGAAGCCCUUGCAACUGCUUACAAGAUGGAAGCUGGGGAGAGAGCCACGUUCUACCUUGACUACGUUCGUGAAGAGAUCAAGGUCUACUAUAGGCCUACUGACAGCGACGAUGGUUCACUUACUCCGGACUAUGACCCUGACUCCGCCCGCUAA
RNAcentral lists this ribosomal RNA (390 nucleotides) under Triticum aestivum (bread wheat). RNAcentral's name for it is "partial small subunit ribosomal RNA". Lineage: Eukaryota; Viridiplantae; Streptophyta; Magnoliopsida; Poales; Poaceae. The record is from RNAcentral.